Molecule: non-coding RNA, 374 nt
Organism: Python bivittatus (Burmese python)
Lineage: Eukaryota; Metazoa; Chordata; Lepidosauria; Squamata; Pythonidae
Source: RefSeq, a predicted model, not a curated record
UUGAGGAGCGCGGUAACACCGGCUGCGGGCACCGCGCACUGCUCUCCCUUUCUGCCUUUCCCCGCUUUAGGCAGCAGCGGCUCGAGCAACCUGCGCCUGGUUGCCCACCCACAAGCGAUCCCUCCCUUCUCGGCGGCAACAUGGAACAGCUGAAGGCUUUUGAUCAAGAAGUAAAUGAGUUUGUGGACUAUAUGUUUGGAGAUAGAGAUCCCAGGGUCAGAGGGUGGCUUAUGCUGGAUUCGUACUUACCUACUUUUGCUCUCACCAUGCUAUAUCUGCUCUUCAUAUGUCUGGGCACCACUUUUAUGAAGAACAGGCCUGCUUUGUCACUCAGGGGUCUUCUUAUUGUAUAUAACCUUGGAGUCACAGUGCUG